RNAcentral lists this ribosomal RNA (609 nucleotides) under Scheffersomyces cryptocercus. RNAcentral describes it as "eukaryotic LSU rRNA". It matches the Rfam family "Eukaryotic large subunit ribosomal RNA", at positions 23 to 650 of the family's 3401-position model. The record is from RNAcentral. Lineage: Eukaryota; Fungi; Ascomycota; Pichiomycetes; Serinales; Debaryomycetaceae.
ACCCGCUGAACUUAAGCAUAUCAAUAAGCGGAGGAAAAGAAACCAACAGGGAUUGUCUUAGUAACGGCGAGUGAAGCGACAAAAGCUCAAAUUUGAAAUCUGGCACCUUCGGUGUCCGAGUUGUAAUUUGAAGAAGGUAACUUUGGAGUUGGCUCUUGUCUAUGUUCCUUGGAACAGGACGUCACAGAGGGUGAGAAUCCCGUGCGAUGAGAUGUCCAACUCUAUGUAAAGUGCUUUCGAAGAGUCGAGUUGUUUGGGAAUGCAGCUCUAAGUGGGUGGUAAAUUCCAUCUAAAGCUAAAUAUUGGCGAGAGACCGAUAGCGAACAAGUACAGUGAUGGAAAGAUGAAAAGAACUUUGAAAAGAGAGUGAAAAAGUACGUGAAAUUGUUGAAAGGGAAGGGUUUGAGAUCAGACUUGGUAUUUUGUAUGUCUUGCUUUCGGGUGGGGCCUCUGCAGUUUACUGGGCCAGCAUCGGUUUGGACGGUAGGAUAAUGACAUUGGAAUGUGGCACUACUUCGGUGGUGUGUUAUAGACUUUGUUGAUACUGCCUGUCUAGACCGAGGACUGCGUCUUUGACUAGGAUGCUGGCAUAAUGAUCCUAAACCGCCC